This 466-nucleotide ribosomal RNA is filed under the name uncultured bacterium. RNAcentral's name for it is "bacterial SSU rRNA". It matches the Rfam family "Bacterial small subunit ribosomal RNA", at positions 330 to 794 of the family's 1533-position model. The record is from RNAcentral.
UCCAGACUCCUACGGGAGGCAGCAGUGAGGAAUAUUGGUCAAUGGCCGAGAGGCUGAACCAGCCAAGUCGCGUGAGGGAAGACGGCCCUACGGGUUGUAAACCUCUUUUGUCGGGGAGCAAAGCGAGUCACGUGUGACUCAUUGAGAGUACCCGAAGAAAAAGCAUCGGCUAACUCCGUGCCAGCAGCCGCGGUAAUACGGAGGAUGCGAGCGUUAUCCGGAUUUAUUGGGUUUAAAGGGUGCGCAGGCGGAAUGUCAAGUCAGCGGUAAAAUUUCGGGGCUCAACCCCGUCGUGCCGUUGAAACUGGCGUUCUUGAGUGAGCGAGAAGUAUGCGGAAUACGUGGUGUAGCGGUGAAAUGCAUAGAUAUCACGCAGAACUCCGAUUGCGAAGGCAGCAUACCGGCGCUCAACUGACGCUCAUGCAUGAAAGCGUGGGUAUCGAACAGGAUUAGAUACCCCUGUACA